CCCUCUUCUUCUUAAAUCUGAUUAAAAUAAUAGCAAUGCAAUGAAGAAGGAAAAUAAUUUUGGUAACUGAAACAAAAACUCAAAACAUGGUCAGAAAUACACAUACACGCACAUGCAUGUAUUCAUGUAAGUAUAUGUGUUAUGCACAUGCAUUUUAUAACAAAGAGGAAAUUUUUGAGGAAUGAAUGGGCAUCACUUAAAAUGGUGUAAAAAUAUUCCUCUAAAAUUUUUACAUUAUUUGAGAAUUUUGUAUAAUUCUAAUGUAAGUCUUGCUUACACGAGAUAGUCUAUGGUGAAGUGUAAAUCUGAACAUUUGCAAGAUGCCUGGUGAGUCUGCUUAGAGUUUCACGAGCAGAUACAGUGUCUGGAUGGUCAUCACCACAAACUGAAGUUCUAAUAAAAAUAGCCUUCCUUAUUAAAUCAUCCCCCACACCAAACUGCCCCCCUCUCAGCAUGAGCUUUGCCCUAGUUUCCAGCACAGUGGCUCUGGAUAGUGCUAGCUCCUGCCAAAGGUAUGGAUUCAACUGAGCAUUAGUCUGGAUGGGCCUCCAACAAAGAGAUUUGUCCAACCACUUCUCAACUGGGGUAACAAAUGCUUGGUCUGCUGCUUCCAAAGCAUUAGUGCAAAGUCGCAGAAGCUCCAGAGCAGCAUUGCAUCGAGAGAAUGUAAUGAAUGUCCAAAUUGCAAGAGGCAAAACCACUUCCCUGACAAGGUACAACAACUCUGACACCUUCAGCUCAACAACUUUGGGUUCAUUGCCAAAACCGAAUAACAAAAAACAUGCUGCCCAUAUAUGUUCUGAAUGGUGGGAUAUGGACCCACGACUGAUUACAGCUUGAACCAUAGCCUGUGCAACUGCAGCAGUUCCUCUCUUGCACACAUAGAGCUUAACAAGCUCAUUGACAUGGAGAUAGCCUUGCUUGGUACUACUUCUUGCAAUAUUAAAUCUCAACAACAUGGAGGAUGCUUCUGCUUCUGACCUUUUGAUGUAUGAUGAAGUGAGACCACAACUCAAGUAAUGCAAUAAUUUUCUGCAUAACCGUGCCCCCCUAUGCUUCUGGGGUAUCUUAUUUGCAGCUAGUGCUAAUAGAGAAACAGGAAUAGCAGAUGGUCCAAACCAACCACUAGCUUGGACCAUUCUGCUUGCCAAACUCCUUGGCCCAUCUGCAUGAUCAAAUAUUGAGAAACAUAGCUCAAAGAGUUGCAACAGGAAAAUGUUGCUCUUCAGUGUAUCAGAUUCCCUACCACUCCAUGACAUCUCCCUCAAGGGCAUUCUAUUUAUGGUGUCCAAUAGCCUGCUUGGAUUUAUAGGAAGCUCAGAUAAAAUUGCUCCUACUAUUGCAAGGCCCAAAGUUGACCUUCCUACUUUCUCCUCAAUAACCCUGAAGGCAUCAAUUUCUGAAAUUGAAUAGUCUUUCCCACUGCCCUGCAUUAAACACAUUGCCUCAACCCCUGAUAAGUAAGAGAGUUUCAAGGGUUCCAAAUUCAUCACACGAGGGAGCCGUGUGGAUAUUAUGAUGUGGGUCUC
This 1529-nucleotide unclassified non-coding RNA is filed under the name Hevea brasiliensis (rubber tree). The record is from RNAcentral. Lineage: Eukaryota; Viridiplantae; Streptophyta; Magnoliopsida; Malpighiales; Euphorbiaceae.